UACGUAGGGGGCCAGCGUUGCUCGGAAUUACUGGGCGUAAAGGGUUCGUAGGCGGUGUGGCAAGUCGGGAGUGAAAUCUCUGGGCUUAACUCAGAGGCUGCUUCCGAAACUGCCGUGCUAGAGUGCGGGAGAGGCGAGUGGAAUUGCAGGUGUAGCGGUGAAAUGCGUAGAGAUCAUGAGGAAGACCAGUGGCGAAGGCGGGUCUCUGGACAGUUCCUGACACUGAGGCACGAAGGCCAGGGGAGCAAACGGG
This 253-nucleotide ribosomal RNA is filed under the name uncultured bacterium. RNAcentral's name for it is "partial 16S ribosomal RNA". It matches the Rfam family "Bacterial small subunit ribosomal RNA", at positions 524 to 776 of the family's 1533-position model. The record is from RNAcentral.